GAUAAACGCUGGCGGCGUGCAUAACACAUGCAAGUCGAACGAUGAAACUUAGAUGAUUUCUUCGGAAUGAACUUAAGCGGAUUAGUGGCGAACGGGUGAGUAACACGUGAGUAACCUGCCUUACACAAGGGGAUAGCCUUUGGAAACGAAGAAUAAUACCCUAUAACGUCAAUUUAUCGCAUGAUAGAAUGACCAAAGAUUUAUCGGUGUAAGAUGGACUUGCGUCUGAUUAGCUAGUUGGUGAGAUAAAGGCCCACCAAGGCAACGAUCAGUAGCCGGCUUGAGAGAGUGUACGGCCACAUUGGGACUGAGACACGGCCCAAACUCCUACGGGAGGCAGCAGUGGGGAAUUUUGCACAAUGGGGGAAACCCUGAUGCAGCGACGCCGCGUGAUUUAGAAGGCCUUCGGGUUGUAAAAAUCUUUUUUAUGGGAUGAAAAUGACAGUACCAUAAGAAUAAGGUCCGGCUAAAUACGUGCCAGCAGCCGCGGUAAUACGUAUGGACCGAGCGUUGUCCGGAAUCAUUGGGCGUAAAGGGUACGUAGGCGGCCCAGUAAGUUAGAAGUGAAAUAAUAUAGCUCAACUAUAUAAAGCUUUUAAAACUGCUAGGCUUGAGAGAUGGAAGGGAAAGUGGAAUUCCUAGUGUAGCGGUGAAAUGCGCAGAUAUUAGGAAGAAUACCGGUGGCGAAGGCGACUUUCUGGUCAUCAUCUGACGCUGAGGUACGAAAGCGUGGGUAGCAAACAGGAUUAGAUACCCUGGUAGUCCACGCUGUAAACGAUGAGUGUUAGGUUCUUGGAAUAAUCUGGGAGCCGCAGCUAACGCAUUAAACACUCCGCCUGGGGAGUACGCACGCAAGUGUG
This 860-nucleotide ribosomal RNA is filed under the name uncultured Clostridia bacterium. Its description in RNAcentral is "bacterial SSU rRNA". It matches the Rfam family "Bacterial small subunit ribosomal RNA", at positions 28 to 896 of the family's 1533-position model. Lineage: Bacteria; Bacillati; Bacillota; Clostridia. The record is from RNAcentral.